AUUGAACGCUGGCGGCAGGCCUAACACAUGCAAGCCGAACGGUAACAGGAAACAGCUUGCUGUUUCGCUGACGAGUGGCGGACGGGUGAGUAAUGUCUGGGAAACUGCCUGAUGGAGGGGGAUAACUACUGGAAACGGUAGCUAAUACCGCAUAACGUCGCAAGACCAAAGAGGGGGACCCUCGGGCCUCUUGCCAUCGGAUGUGCCCAGAUGGGAUUAGCUUGUUGGUGGGGUAACGGCUCACCAAGGCGACGAUCCCUAGCUGGUCUGAGAGGAUGACCAGCCACACUGGAACUGAGACACGGUCCAGACUCCUACGGGAGGCAGCAGUGGGGAAUAUUGCACAAUGGGCGCAAGCCUGAUGCAGCCAUGCCGCGUGUAUGAAGAAGGCCUUCGGGUUGUAAAGUACUUUCAGCGGGGAGGAAGGGAGUAAAGUUAAUACCUUUGCUCAUUGACGUUACCCGCAGAAGAAGCACCGGCUAACUCCGUG
RNAcentral lists this ribosomal RNA (490 nucleotides) under uncultured bacterium. RNAcentral's name for it is "partial 16S ribosomal RNA". It matches the Rfam family "Bacterial small subunit ribosomal RNA", at positions 30 to 507 of the family's 1533-position model. The record is from RNAcentral.